This 654-nucleotide small RNA is filed under the name Pan troglodytes (chimpanzee). Its description in RNAcentral is "retained intron". Lineage: Eukaryota; Metazoa; Chordata; Mammalia; Primates; Hominidae. The record is from RNAcentral.
AACAGCGUGACGUGGGGGUACCGAGAUCUGCGGGAGCAGCGGUCCCGGCUUCAGUUCUAGCCUACCCGGCAGCCUGGACGGGAGCAAGGCGAGAGGUGCUGCCGCCUCCCGUCGCCCCUGCGCUCAGAGGUCCCGAACCAGCCCAGCCGCUGCCUCUUGCCGCUCCGCCUUUGGAGUGAGGAGGGCGUAGCCCGCGUCAGAACUUAGAGGGCCAGGCAGGGUCGCGCGCAUGGCCUGGGCGGGCUCGCGGCGGGUCCCAGCUGGGACGCGCGCGGCAGCCGAGCGCUGCUGCCGGCUCUCGCUCAGCCCGGGCGCGCAACCGGCCCCGCCCCCAGGCCCUCUGCCACCGCCGCGACCAAUGAGGUUUCUGACCUCCUACAGCCUCCUCUUGCCUCGGGCUGCCCAGAUCUUGGCGGCUGAGGCUGGCUUACCUUCGAGCCGUUCCUUCAUGGGAUUUGCUGCUCCCUUCACCAACAAGCGAAAGGCUUACUCGGAGCGUAGAAUCAUGGGGUAAGCAUUCUCUGCCUUGCAUCCUUGCACUUCCCCUUUCCCUCCAAAUAACCCUGUCCAGGCAAGAAUGUCAGGGUAUCAUCGGUGGGCAAGAUUCAUCCCUAGCCAUCCCCCUCCCCAGCUACAAUACUGAUCCUCAGUCCU